Molecule: small nuclear RNA, 115 nt
Filed under: Sporothrix schenckii ATCC 58251
Lineage: Eukaryota; Fungi; Ascomycota; Sordariomycetes; Ophiostomatales; Ophiostomataceae
Description: U5 spliceosomal RNA
Rfam family: U5 spliceosomal RNA
About the family: U5 RNA is a component of both types of known spliceosome. The precise function of this molecule is unknown, though it is known that the 5' loop is required for splice site selection and p220 binding, and that both the 3' stem-loop and the Sm site are important for Sm protein binding and cap methylation.
Source: Rfam by way of RNAcentral
UUGGAGUGGGACUAUCCUAGCGAACUCACCUCUUGCCUUUUACCAGAGAUGACCGUGGGACGGCCCAAGAGACUCCACUCAAUAAUCUUUGGCACCCAACUUGAAUCCGUUGGAU